This 359-nucleotide long non-coding RNA is filed under the name Hordeum vulgare. RNAcentral's name for it is "long non-coding RNA (HVUL_LNC011333)". Lineage: Eukaryota; Viridiplantae; Streptophyta; Magnoliopsida; Poales; Poaceae. The record is from RNAcentral.
CUGAGGAAAAAAAAACUACACAUAGACCUACAAUAUAUACUCACCUAGCUUGUGAACAAGGAUGUCAAAAGUCUAUUAAUGCGAUGAGUUUGGAUUUGUUUUCCUUCAUUUUAGUUUUAAUAGGUGGUAUCCAAAAUAUUGGAGGAAAACAAAAGAGCACGGUAGGUACAUACUUUUUCUUGGCGGCGCCAAGAUAUUUGCAAAGUUAAAAUAUAUACACCUACCUUGUAAACAAGGAUGUGAAAUGCAUAUUGAUGUAAUGAGAUUGGCUUUAUUUUUCUCCAUAUUAGUUUUAGUCGGUGGAAUUGAGUAACGUGAUUAAUACAAAGUAUAGAUUAAACUAUAAUAUUAUUCUACCU